AAAAAGUUCCUCUCCAGAUUUCUUGUAGGCCCCCUUUAGGGGGAGCACCGGCAGCUGCUCCAAGGUCUCCCGGAGCCUUCCCUCCUCCUGACUGAACAGCUUCAUCUCGUCCUGUCCCCUGAGCAGGACUGAAGCCUUCUACAUGCGCUGCUCACGAACCUAAAGCCGCCACAGCUGCUGCUGACCCCCCUCCGCUCUGCCCGGCCCUCCCAGCACCACAUUGUCUGCUCGCGCACCUCCCAGGCAUUAACCAAGGAGGAAACCAGCAGUACAAUUUUCAUUUCUGAAGAUAUUUUCUGCCAGUUGUUUACUUCAUCUGUGUAUGUUUACUCACUUCAGUCAGCCAAAGCAGGACAAGGUAAGCCAGAAGCACUCAGGAUAGUGCUGAAGUUGAACAUGGCCAGACAGUGGGAUACCAAUAGCUCUAUGAGCAGUGAGGAUGUUCUGUUAAGUACAGUCUUAAAGAUAAACACACCUUGCCUUACACCAUCUAUGCCAAGCAAGGCAGUAACGAGAUGUCCUUUACUGGACGUACUAAAUUUUAAUCUGUGACAAAAGAUUCCUUCUUUUAUUCCAUUUGUUUGUCUAUUGGCCAGAGUUCUGACUAACAUAUCUUUGAUUCAAUGUGAAUUCUGAGUUUGUAUAAUUUCUAGUGGUAAAAAUAUGAUGUUGUGAAUCCUGAUCUAGGAUCCUGAUGACUAUGCCAGUUUCUUGCAGAAUGAGUGGUUUAGCUCACUUAAAGAAUCACUGGUAAAUGGACCAGCAAAGGUGGUUUUAAUAUGAAUUUGUAAAAGUGAGACUUAAGAGAGUCAAAUUAGGAUCAAUUUAGAAUGAUUUAUGAGGCCAAAGAAACAAAAGUGUAAGGGAGACCCUUCUGUUGAGUCAUGAGUUUCCAAGUAGACCUCCCUGCUUUCUGAACUCAUGGAACUUAGGUCUAAUCUUAGUCUCCACCUUGGAUAACAGUUUAUGUCUAAAGGAACUGACUAUAUGGAUUUAAUCAGCAUUAAUUGAGCAUGCUGUCAGCAGCUUACUGAGGACCUGUUGCAAGUAAGGGGGUCUCUGCCUUGUGUAGGAAAGAUACUCCAGUCUCAGUAAGAAAUCUGCAACCUUGAGCUCAAAGAGAGAUCACUACGAUACAGCCAAACUGCCUAGCACAGGGAGAGUUCCAAGAAGUCUGCCAUUGUGGAACAAUGGCUGAUGGAGCAUGGGCAUGCGAAUUGGGAAGGGCUGAAUAAUCCCUGACUUUGACUUUUAUGAAGGCUUGCACAACCCAGGCUUGGAACUGAGUGAAUGACAGUGAACUGUUGUGGACUGGCUGCAAAGCAGUGGGCAUAUUGUGCCCAAUCCCGAUGUUUUAGCAUUAGAAGAUGGUAUUUAUGGAGAGUGCAGCCACAAUCCUAAGUCAGCAAGUGCCUACAUGAAGCUUCACAUGAAUCGAGGAUGAAGACAGCUGUGAGUAAAGAAGCAAAAGCAGCAGUGCAAGCAAGAUAAGAAGAAACUGGGAUGUGUUAACACACAAUAGUGAACUGUUAGCAAGUUUUGGAGACUAGACUCUCAUAGGCUUAAUGUAACAAGAUUGUAUCUUAGCUGCUGUGUGCUAUACUGUACAUGUAUCCACUAUUACAGUGAGCUAUUGAUUAUGCAUCCACUCUUAAUACAGCCAGUUAUUGUGUAUGGAUCCAAGUAUAAUACACUGAGCUAUUGUAAGCAGACGCAGAGACUAACAUGGAAAUUCUAGCUUAGCCAAUAGCUAUAUAUAGAUAGGCAGGUGGACAAACUAAUGUAACCAAUGAAAGAGUAUUUAGUAGCGCAUGGGCUAUCAGUAACUGUAUAAAUAUAGGCGAUGGCGAUCAAUAAAGUGAACAAGAUGUGUAACUCA
Long non-coding RNA from Melopsittacus undulatus (budgerigar), 1879 nucleotides. RefSeq lists it as uncharacterized. The transcript is spliced from 2 exons. The record is from RefSeq and is a predicted model, not a curated record. Lineage: Eukaryota; Metazoa; Chordata; Aves; Psittaciformes; Psittaculidae.